RNAcentral lists this ribosomal RNA (460 nucleotides) under uncultured bacterium. Its description in RNAcentral is "partial 16S ribosomal RNA". It matches the Rfam family "Bacterial small subunit ribosomal RNA", at positions 338 to 795 of the family's 1533-position model. The record is from RNAcentral.
CCUACGGGAGGCAGCAGUGAGGAAUAUUGGUCAAUGGACGAGAGUCUGAACCAGCCAAGUAGCGUGAAGGAUGACUGCCCUAUGGGUUGUAAACUUCUUUUAUAAAGGAAUAAAACGAGGCACGUGUGCCUUUUUGCAUGUACUUUAUGAAUAAGGAUCGGCUAACUCCGUGCCAGCAGCCGCGGUAAUACGGAGGAUCCGAGCGUUAUCCGGAUUUAUUGGGUUUAAAGGGAGCGUAGAUGGGUUGUUAAGUCAGUUGUGAAAGUUUGCGGCUCAACCGUAAAAUUGCAAUUGAUACUGGGAGGCGUGAGUACAGUUGAGGUAGGCGGAAUUCGUGGUGUAGCGGUGAAAUGCUUAGAUAUCAGGAAGAACCCCGAUUGCGAAGGCAGCUUACUAAACUGUGACUGACAUUGAUGCUCGAAAGUGUGGGGAUCAAACAGGAUUAGAUACCCCAGUAGUC